UCAGGUGGCCGCAGAGAAUAGGCCCAAGCGACUGUUUACCAAAAACAUAGGUUUCUGCUAAGUCGCAAGACGAUGUAUAGGAGCUGACGCCUGCCCGGUGCUGGAAGGUUAAGGGGAUCUGUUAGAGUAAUCGAAGCAGUGAACUUAAGCCCCAGUAAACGGCGGCCGUAACUAUAACGGUCCUAAGGUAGCGAAAUUCCUUGUCGGGUAAGUUCCGACCCGCACGAAAGGCGUAACGAUUUGGGCACUGUCUCAACAACAGACUCGGUGAAAUUGUAAUUCCGGUGAAGAUGCCGGAUACCUGCGACAGGACGGAAAGACCCCAUGGAGCUUUACUGUAGCUUGACAUUGGGUCUUGGUACUACAUGUACAGGAUAGGUGGGAGGCUUUGAAACCAGGACGCCAGUUUUGGCGGAGCCAUCCUUGGGAUACCACCCUUGUAGUACUGGGACUCUAACCAUAGGCCAUGAAUCUGGUCUUGG
RNAcentral lists this ribosomal RNA (482 nucleotides) under Clostridioides difficile. RNAcentral describes it as "partial 23S ribosomal RNA". It matches the Rfam family "Bacterial large subunit ribosomal RNA", at positions 1769 to 2249 of the family's 2925-position model. Lineage: Bacteria; Bacillati; Bacillota; Clostridia; Peptostreptococcales; Peptostreptococcaceae. The record is from RNAcentral.